UCCAGUGUUUGUGGGGCCACUUUAUUUUCGUUAACGCGUCUGUUAGCUCUUGACUUAGGUUCUGACAAUUACAUUUACACCGUCGGAACUUAUGUCAGCAUUUUGAGUACGGUGGCAGUGAGAAAUCAUGUUGCACGGUUUGAAACACAAAUGGUGUUUCUGGGAGAUGGUGAGAGGGUGCAUGUGCAAGUUUUCCUUGCUUGCCGAGGCCACACAUGACAAAUUGACAUUAUAGGUAGUGUUACGAACUUUGGUUACGACUCUUCGUGUUAAAGCUCUGAUGUUAUGACGACGAUGUCAACAUCAACAGUGUUGCACGUGGGAUUGUUUUGGUGGAAACGUUAUGUUUAUUUUAGCGUCUCUGGUGUAUGUAGUGCGUGAAAUAAGCUUAACUGAUUAAAAAAGAAUUAGCAGUAAAUUUCUGGAAAUACUGACACACUCAACAUGGCAACCUUUCUGAGCUUUUCGGAAAUUGUGGAGGAGCCACGAAUUAAUGAAGAUGAAGAAGCUGAAAUAUCUUCACUUGAUGAAGACCACGAGAUGGCUGAAAAUACUAAUGACAGUGACUGUGGAACAGACACAAGUAAGAGUGCAACUGAGGGGACAGGUGUCAUUGGCGGGAACCCUGGCUGGGCUGAUGCAAUGGCCAAGAUUCUGAAGACAAACAAGCCAAAAAAUAAGAAAACCAUUGUGUUAGCUAAAGCAAAGAAGCUGCAACAAGUUGCAAAAAAGGAAAAACCAGCAGUAGAAACUGAUACUACUGAGAAAGAAGAGAAAGAUACCACUGUAAAAUUUGAGAAAAACGCUAUGAAGGAUUCCAGAAAGUUAAAGAAGAAACUGUGGGAGAACAAAGGCAGGGUACAACCACAUAUUUUGGACAAGAACAGAGAAAAGGCGUUAGCCAAGAUAGCAACAAAAGGGGUGGUGCAGUUGUUUAAUGCAGUGCGACAACAUCAGAAAAAGCUGGAUGAGCAGUUUAGAGAAGUCAAGCAUUCUGAAGUUAAAAAAGAUAAAAUUAUGAAGUCUGUUGAUAAAAAGGCCUUCUUAGAUGUGCUAAUGGGGAAAGGCAGUUCAGCCAAAUUUGAAGCUGAUAUGAAGGAGGAAGAGGACGAGAAUAAGGAGGAUUCUGUAAACCAAACAUGGAAAGUAUUGCAGGAUGAUUUUAUGACCGGUGUCAAACUGAAAGACUGGGAUAAAAAUGAACUUGACCUCGAAGAUGACAUAAUGCAUAAAUAAGUAGCUGAGUUGGUAAGCGUUUGCCAAGCUACACAAAAAGAUUUUCAUAAAUUUUGUAAUAUAAUACUGUGUAACUAAAGGUUUCUGGGUGCCAAGCACCAAUCCUCAAGUGGCGGCUAUUCCAUUAUUUUUUACAUUAAGUUUUCUGUACGAUUUGAUUACUCUCUGUAUACUUACAUGUUGAAUUGUGUACUUUCAGGUGAAGUUGCCAUGUAUGAAGUUUUGUUAAUUUAUGCAAAUUUUUAAUUAAGUUCUUAACUGAACAAUGAAGGGUUAUCCAGCUCAGAAGCAUUAGGGCAGAAAAUUAUAUAGUCGAAUCCUGGAAUCUAACAAGCAUAGUGGCUCAGUAGACAAAAGUAAAUUUGUGUGUGAUUGAUCUGUGAUUAAGAAUAUAUUUCAUGUUUGUUUUAAUUAAACUGAAACUGGUUACUAGAAAGAAUGUCGCAAGGCUUUCUAAUGAUUGGGUUAAGUAUUCACUUAGAUUUCACCGUUUCUUGUUGUUAUAACAAUUCCAGUUCCCCAUUUCUUUUAAGUAAUAAAGCUUUCAAUGAAACAAAAUAUUACCCACUUCAAAUAUGUACAUGACAUAUACCAUACUUUCAUAAGUACAAUCAGCUGAAGGAAAAAAAAAUUAUUAAUAGAAGGAGUAGAACAAUAGCAAGUGGAAUAGUUUCAACUUGCAUCUCAAACAGUAUGGGAUCUUUUCAUCUAUUAACAUGAACUACAUUUAUUUGUGUUGAGGAUCAGCUGCCAAUGAUUGCACCAGGCAUUGAUCAGAACUGCAUCCAGUGUGUUCAGUAGCUUCUGUCAAAAACUGCUAUACAUCUUUAAUGAGCACCUAGCAUAUGUACUAUAUAUCUUUAAAGGGCACCUAGCAUAUAUGUACUGAAUGCACAGCAGAGUUGUUAUUUCCCUGAGAGAUUUCUAUCAUCUGUUUCACAUUGGAACUUCCAACAACGAGCAGUCCCAUCCUUUGUGCAAGCUCAAGUCCAGCAAACCGAUUGGGCCCUGUCCCAAGAGCUAAGGUAAUUCGUGCUGGCUCACCUGAGUCAUGAGUAACAAUUAAUUACUCACAUCUGUUGGUAAGGAUUAUUCACCUUCAGGCCAUAUACACUUGACCUGAUCAAGGUCUGUCACUCAUCCUGAAGUGUUCAUAAUUUUGCCAGGGCAGGUGUAUGUAUUGCUAUAUCAGGCUUCACCAGUAGGAUAGGAGGUACCUUAUUAGUUUGUCUUUUAAUGCUCAGCUCAAAUGCCUUAAUUGUGUUCAUUAACAAGCACCUGUGAUUGUUGACUUGGUUUUAACACCUCAUAGUACAUGACGUUGAGCUGGUCCCAUCAAAUGCAGAGCAAGAUCUUGGAGCCAUAAAUAUUCGGUUUGGCCGUAUACGUGAAAGCAUGGCCGGGAUAUCACCACGAUUUUUUGCCUUUAGGUUUAUCGUAAUGAGCCCAUUUUUUGUCCCCAGUCACAAUGUGAUGCAUAAAUCCCUUCCAUUUUUGCCUCUGGAGCAACUGUUCACAAACACACAAAUGCCGUUCAACGUCUCUUGGUUGCAACUCACACGGGACCUAAGUUCCUUCUUUCUGAAUCAUGCCCAUAGCCUUGAGACAUUUUGAAACAACUUGCUGUGUCACUCUCACUAAUCGUGCCAAUUCUUCUUGAGUUUGACGUGAGUCUUCACUCUGCAGUGUCUCCGAUUCUGCAUCUUCGAAAACGUUCUGUCUUCCACCACUAUGCCAGUCAACGAUGUUAAAAUCACCAUUCUUGAAGUGUUGAAACCACUCAUGUCACAUUGUGUCUCUAAUAGCGUCCUUACCAUAUGUACUUGAGAGCAUUCGAUGAGACUUCAGGCACUCUUUUCUUCAUAUUGAAACAAAACAGUAACACCUCCUGCAAAUGACGAGAAUUAGGCUCGUAAACUGACAUUUUCAGUCAAGAACAACUUUAUGAUACAGGCACAAAUCAACUAAUGCUUGAAUGAGGUUGUGUUGACUGAGGUCCAAGCUAACUGCCUGACGUCUGCAAUCUGUUUCUUUCGACCCCUACUUACCGUUGUCGCCACCUGUCGGGAAACGGCAUAAGCAAAGUUGUACACUUUGUAUUACAUGACCAACAUGCUAUUCCGUGUUGCUCAAUUAUUUCUCAGUAAUGUUGGCAUCUCAUGAAUUAAAGAAUGACUCAAGGUGGUGAAAGCCUAUACACUGUUCUUUCUACAACUUCUGUACAGAAUGUGCAUUGUAGAUAGCCGUGUUCUAACCUUGAAAGAUGCCAUUGCAUUUUUGGAAAAGGUGCAACAAUUUCAGGUGCUUGACAUACCAAAUGGUUUAUACACCACAAUUACCCUGUACUGCAGUUACAUUACAUGGUGAACCAGUAGUCAUUAACUUCUUAAUGUCAAACACUUUAAGUAUGGAAGCUCUUGAACGCCGUACAGGAACAGGCAUUUGUGUGAUUGGGAGAUCCACUCUCCUGGUCCUGUGUUCUUUAUCAGACCCUGUUCAAUCAUUUUCUUUCCUGUUUUGCUGAUGCGCUCAUUACCUGUAUUCAGUGCAGCGCUGUUAUGACGUUCUAUGUUGAUUCAUUGCUUACAGUUUAUGUUGUACAAGUUGUUGCAUUGAUCAUUCAUAUUUUGUACCCUUUUUAAGUUUUCUUACAAUAGAGAACAUUAACCAUUAACCAUACAGAAGCCACAGAAACUUUAUGUGAUACGUAAAAUUCAUCAACAUGCAGUAGGUACUGAUUUGGUAUAGCUUACACAUGUAGAAAGUCCAGAACAUCUUGCAUAGUGAAUACUGACCAAUCUGCGCCUAGUUUUAUCCAGUUUCCCUAAUACAUAAAUAGAUAAUUUUGAUGUGUUUGCAGCUUCGAGAUCAUAACAAUACAGUAAAUACAUUUGUCUCUACAGAACUACGUAUGCUAUCACUAUCUAAAUAUGCAUUUCAUCUGAAUGUUUGAGGAAAGAUAUUAAAUGGGCUUCAGUGGAAACCAGUAAUAUUUAUGGCACUAUUCCUUUGUGGACUUUUAUUUUAAUAAAACUUGGAUCAAUAAUUUGCAUUC
RNA transcript from Schistocerca gregaria, 4291 nucleotides. It is a transcript of the gene named RRP15-like protein, with no coding region annotated. The transcript has 6 exons. Lineage: Eukaryota; Metazoa; Arthropoda; Insecta; Orthoptera; Acrididae. The record is from RefSeq and is a predicted model, not a curated record.